CCUACGGGUGGCAGCAGUGAGGAAUAUUGGUCAAUGGCCGGAAGGCUGAACCAGCCAAGCCGCGUGAGGGAGGAAGGCGCAGAGCGUCGCAGACCUCUUUUGCCGGGGGACAAAAUGACGGACUCGUCCGGUUCUGAGGGUACCCGGAGAAAAAGCAUCGGCUAACUCCGUGCCAGCAGCCGCGGUAAUACGGAGGAUCCGAGCGUUAUCCGGAUUCAUUGGGUUUAAGGGGGGCGCAGGGGGGCAGUUAAGCCGGCGGUGAAAUCGCGGGGCUCAACCGCGCAGAGCCGUCGGAACUGGGGGACUUGAGUGCAGCGGAGGCAUGCGGAAUGCGCGGUGUAGCGGUGAAAUGCAUAGAUAUCGCGCAGAACCCCGAUUGCGAAGGCAGCGUGCCGUGCCGCCACUGACGCUGAGGCACGAAAGCGCGGGGAUCGAACAGGAUUAGAUACCCUAGUAGUC
RNAcentral lists this ribosomal RNA (459 nucleotides) under uncultured bacterium. RNAcentral's name for it is "partial 16S ribosomal RNA". It matches the Rfam family "Bacterial small subunit ribosomal RNA", at positions 338 to 795 of the family's 1533-position model. The record is from RNAcentral.